UAUGUGAUCGUCUCUCGCAUAUCAAUAAGCGGAGGAAAAGAAACUAACAAGGAUUCCCCUAGUAACGGCGAGUGAAGCGGGAAGAGCUCAAAUUUGAAAUCUUAAAGGGUUUCCCUUUACGAAUUGUAGUUUAAAGAAGUGUUUUCUGUUGAGGUUUUAGGUAAAAGUUCUUUGGAAUAGGACAUCAUAGAGGGUGAGAAUCCCGUAUUUGACCUUUACUUUCAACUUUGUGAUACACUUUCAAAGAGUCGGAUUGUUUGGGAAUGCAGUCCAAAAUGGGUGGUAAAUUUCAUCUAAAGCUAAAUAUUGGCGAGAGACCGAUAGCGAACAAGUACCGUGAGGGAAAGAUGAAAAGAACUUUGAAAAGAGAGUUAAACAGUACGUGAAAUUGUCAAAAGGGAAGCGUUUGACACCAGUGUUGUUUUUCUGAAAAUCAAUUAAAGAACUGUUUAUGCUAAGUUGUUUAGACUUUAUCAGCUAUCUGUUUAGUUUUGAGCUUUUCUUUAAUGCACUUUUCAGUUAACAAGUCAACAUCAAUUUCUUUUGCUGUAAAAAAGCUUGAGGAAGGUGGCUUGAGAUUCGUCUUAAGUGUUUAUAGCCUCUUGCCUAUGCAGUCGGAGAGAUUGAGGUCUGCAGCGUAGAUCCUUCGGGGCUAAAUGCAUUUGUGCUAAGUUAUAGCAUUUUAUAGACAACUUGUUGACUAUGAUUUGUCUUGUAGCUUACUCGCUUAUGUUAUUUUACCUACGCUUAGGAUGUUGAGUAGCGACAUACGCAC
This 775-nucleotide ribosomal RNA is filed under the name uncultured Neocallimastigales. RNAcentral's name for it is "partial large subunit ribosomal RNA". It matches the Rfam family "Eukaryotic large subunit ribosomal RNA", at positions 24 to 649 of the family's 3401-position model. The record is from RNAcentral. Lineage: Eukaryota; Fungi; Neocallimastigomycota; Neocallimastigomycetes; Neocallimastigales.